GAUGAACGCUGGCGGCGUGCCUAAUACAUGCAAGUCGAGCGAACGGACGAGAAUCUUGCUUCUCUGAUGUUAGCGGCGGACGGGUGAGUAACACGUGGAUAACCUACCUAUAAGACUGGGAUAACUUCGGGAAACCGGAUCUAAUACCGGAUCAUAUUUUGAACCGCAUGGUUCAUAAGUGCAAGACGGUCUUGCUGUCACUUAUAGAUGGAUCCUCGCUGCAUUAGCUAGUUGGUAAGGUAACGGCUUACCAAGGCAACGAUGCAUAGCCGACCUGAGAGGAUGAUCGGCCACACUGGAACUGAGACACGGUCCAGACUCCUACGGGAGGCAGCAGUAGGGAAUCUUCCGCAAUGGGCGAAAGCCUGACGGAGCAACGCCGCGUGAGUGAUGAAGGUCUUCGGAUCGUAAAACUCUGUUAGUAGGGAAGAACAUAUGUGUAAGUAACUGUGCACAUCUUGACGGUACCUAAUCAGAAAGCCACGGCUAACUACGUG
This 497-nucleotide ribosomal RNA is filed under the name uncultured bacterium. RNAcentral describes it as "partial 16S ribosomal RNA". It matches the Rfam family "Bacterial small subunit ribosomal RNA", at positions 28 to 507 of the family's 1533-position model. The record is from RNAcentral.